GCAAACUUGGUCAUUUAGAGGAAGUAAAAGUCGUAACAAGGUUUCCGUAGGUGAACCUGCGGAAGGAUCAUUACCGUAGAGAUCUCCGGAUCGCUACUAGAGAUAGAACCCCUGUCUUUUCGAGUACCUCCCGUUUCCUCGGCAGGUUUGCCUGCCAAUGGGGACAACCUCAAAACUAUUUGUAAUAGCAGUAAACGUCUAAAAACAAAAAAACAUUUUAAAACUUUCAACAACGGAUCUCUUGGUUCUGGCAUCGAUGAAGAACGCAGC
Molecule: unclassified non-coding RNA, 270 nt
Filed under: uncultured fungus
Lineage: Eukaryota; Fungi
Description: partial contains small subunit ribosomal RNA, internal transcribed spacer 1, and 5.8S ribosomal RNA
Rfam family: Eukaryotic small subunit ribosomal RNA (bases 1-73)
Source: RNAcentral